Molecule: long non-coding RNA, 1065 nt
Filed under: Gossypium barbadense (sea-island cotton)
Lineage: Eukaryota; Viridiplantae; Streptophyta; Magnoliopsida; Malvales; Malvaceae
Description: long non-coding RNA (GBAR_LNC004656)
Source: RNAcentral
UUUGUCUUCCUCCUGAACUUGUGAAGGCUUCGAUGACUGAAAUCAUCAAGGCACUCAGGAAACUUCCGAGCCCGAAAACACUCGUGUACAGUGCAAACCCCAUCGUUCGCAUCCUAACAGGUACUUCAUUGUAGAAGAACUCUUGCAUCCCUACAACUGUGAAAAUGUCUGAAAUUCCUAGAAGAACAUAUUGAGGAAGCAACCAAAAGAUGCUUAGUUCUACUGUUUCUGAUUCUAGGGAACUCGUCUUCCUGUUGAUCUCGAGCCUCUUUGUUUCGACAACUGCAGCUAUGAUCAUAGCAAUGAUGGAUAGAAACAUGCCGACUCCCAUCCUUUGCAUUACGGUAAUACCUUUUUGAUUGCGGGUAACAAUUUGGGUGAUUGGGAUCAAAACUUUGUCAUAUAAUGGCAUCAUUAGUAUUAUAGAUAACGUAAUUGCACUUUGUAGUGUUGCUGGUGGGAUCUUGAAGUUCCUACCGAUGUUCCUCUUCAUUGUCAUGCCUUGUUUCGUAAAAAAGGUUGCAGGUUGUUGGAAAAUUACAGCAAACAUCAGAAGCAUUGCCCAUAUUGGCAAAAGCCUGAGUACUAUUUUUGCGUUUUCAAGCAGGUGAGUUUUGUUUCUGAGAUUCCCAUCGAAACCACCAUUGCUGCCAAACUUUUGAUCACAAAGAGGUUUCUCUUGAAGCCUAUAAAACAAGCGAGAAUGAUAUCAGAAACUCAUGGGAAAUCACAAAAUCUGAAGCUUCCUCGAUAUCCCAACAUGAAAACUUACUCAAGCUCCCCUACAUCAGACUUGUCAUCUGGUAAGUUGAUUCUGAUUCUGCCAUUGACAAGCUUUGAUGCAGUCACUUUGAUUACUUGAAGUAUGUUCUGAAAGGGCUUACUGUCAAUGCUUUUAUCUGGUUUAUAUGCAUAGAUUCGGUUACCACAUGUGAAAAUUGCAACUGAUGUAAUCAUUGCAAACAUGGGGAUGGCAAAUCCAAGUACCCAACCAAAGGUGUCUUGGAUGUAGGACAUAAGUAUGAGACCUAAGAGGCUGCCACUACAAACACCAAAAUACCACCA